This 618-nucleotide non-coding RNA is filed under the name Triticum aestivum (bread wheat). RNAcentral's name for it is "Eukaryotic large subunit ribosomal RNA". It matches the Rfam family "Eukaryotic large subunit ribosomal RNA", at positions 24 to 664 of the family's 3401-position model. Lineage: Eukaryota; Viridiplantae; Streptophyta; Magnoliopsida; Poales; Poaceae. The record is from Rfam by way of RNAcentral.
CCCACUGAGUAUAAGCAUAAAAAUAAGUGGAGGAGAAGAAACUUAUAAGGAUUCCCCUAGUAACGGCGAGCGAACCGGGAGUAGCCCAGCUUGAAAAUCGGGCGGCUGUGCCGUCCGAAUUGUAGUCUAGAGAGGCGUCCUCAGUGACGGACCGGGCCCAAGUCCCUUGGAAAGGGGCGCCUGGGCGGGUGAGAGCCCCGUCUGGCCCGGACCCUGUCGCCCCAUGAGGCGCCGUCAACGAGUCGGGUUGUUUGGGAAUGCAACCCAAAUCGUGUAGUAGACUGCGUCCAAGGCUAAAUACAGGCGAGAGACCGAUAGCGAACAAGUACGGUCAGGGAAAGAUGAAAAGGACUUUGGGAAGAGAGUCAAAGAGUGCUUGAAAUUGCCGGGAGGGAAGCGGAUGGGGGCCGGCGAUGUGCCCCGGCCGUAUGCGGAACAACUCUUCCUGGUCUGCCGCUCAGCUCGGGGUGUGGACUGUUGUCGGCCGCGCCGACGGCGUAGGUGCCCCCAGUGGCCGUCGUCGGCACGGCCGGUACCCGCGCGCCGAAAGGCGUGUCCCUCAGGGCACUGUGCUGCAAUGACCCGCGGACUCCCCAUCCGACCCACCUUGAAACACAG